CAACUUUCAGCAAUGGAUCUCUUGGCUCUCGCAUCGAUGAAGAGCGCAGCGAAAUGCGAUAAGUAAUGUGAAUUGCAGAAUUCAGUGAAUCAUCGAAUCUUUGAACGCAUCUUGCGCUCCUUGGUAUUCCGAGGAGCAUGCCUGUUUGAGUGUCAUUA
RNAcentral lists this ribosomal RNA (158 nucleotides) under Inocybe sp. TR194_02. RNAcentral describes it as "5.8S ribosomal RNA". It matches the Rfam family "5.8S ribosomal RNA". Rfam says of the family: 5.8S ribosomal RNA (5.8S rRNA) is a component of the large subunit of the eukaryotic ribosome. The record is from RNAcentral. Lineage: Eukaryota; Fungi; Basidiomycota; Agaricomycetes; Agaricales; Inocybaceae.